Molecule: long non-coding RNA, 552 nt
Organism: Venturia canescens
Lineage: Eukaryota; Metazoa; Arthropoda; Insecta; Hymenoptera; Ichneumonidae
Exons: 2
Source: RefSeq, a predicted model, not a curated record
CCUUGCGCGGAAUCAUUAUUGCUCGUCUUGGGACGCAACCAAAUAUAUUAGGGACUGCCAGAAACAUUACUAAAAAACGAUUAUUCGGUUUCAGGCUGACCGCAAUUACUUCACGCAAUCUGAGCAGCGGUUCACGGGACCAUUUGAACGUGAAGCCUUUUCAGGGAACAGGCCCCUUCCCCAGUCAGGCGAGCACUUAUCGAAGCGAGCAAAAAUUCUCCUUCAAAAACAGACGACAGUUCGUCAACAACAAGGCGCAGCAGUGUCGGAGGGCCCAAAGCAAGAAAUCAACCGAGGUAGAGAGAAACGUAAGCGCCAUCGCUCCGGUAAACAGAGAUUUCUUGUCCAAGUGACAAAAAAUCAUAGAUGUUUUUGUAUUGAAUUGUAUCGCGGGAUAUAGUCUUUGCAAAAAAUUGGAGAGAGUCUGGUACCACAGAUGACCAUAAUGGAAUCGGAGGUUAAAAAAUAGGAAGAAACAAUAGAAAAGCUGUGGGACAAGUGAGCAAUUGAACCAUGUGUGUGGGAAAAUAAAGAUCAGUUUGUGUCUCAUUA